GUGGGGAAUAUUGGGCAAUGGGCGAAAGCCUGACCCAGCAACGCCGCGUGAAGGAAGAAGGCUUUCGGGUUGUAAACUUCUUUUGUCAGGGACGAAAAAAAUGACGGUACCUGACGAAUAAGCCACGGCUAACUACGUGCCAGCAGCCGCGGUAAUACGUAGGUGGCAAGCGUUAUCCGGAUUUACUGGGUGUAAAGGGCGUGUAGGCGGGAAAGCAAGUCAGAUGUGAAAACUAUGGGCUCAACCCAUAGCCUGCAUUUGAAACUGUUUUUCUUGAGUACUGGAGAGGCAGAUGGAAUUCCUAGUGUAGCGGUGAAAUGCGUAGAUAUUAGGAGGAACACCAGUGGCGAAGGCGAUCUGCUGGACAGCAACAGACGCUGAGGCGCGAAAGCGUGGGGAGCAAACAGGAUUAGAUACCCGUGUAGUCC
RNAcentral lists this ribosomal RNA (428 nucleotides) under uncultured bacterium. RNAcentral describes it as "partial 16S ribosomal RNA". It matches the Rfam family "Bacterial small subunit ribosomal RNA", at positions 354 to 796 of the family's 1533-position model. The record is from RNAcentral.